UCCUUGGUGGUCCAGUGGCAAGGACUCUGCACUCCCAAUGCAGGGGGUUUGCGUUCUAUCUCUGGUCAGGGAA
Molecule: non-coding RNA, 73 nt
Organism: Ovis aries (sheep)
Lineage: Eukaryota; Metazoa; Chordata; Mammalia; Artiodactyla; Bovidae
Source: Rfam